GCCUGGCUUGGUGGCACAUGCCUGUAGUCCCAGCUAUUAGGGAGGCUGAGACUCAAGGAGGAUCCCUUGAGUUCAAGAGUUCUGGACUAUAGUGCACUAUGCCAAUCAGGUGUUCACACUAAGUCCAGCACCAAUAUGGUGACCUUACGGGAGCAGGGAACCACCAGUUUGCUUAAGGAGGGGGGAACCAGCCUAGGUCAGAAACAGAGUGGGUCGAAACUCCUGCACUGAUCAGGAGUUAGUGUUCAUGAAUAAAACCACAUUGAAUAGAAAAUAAAUGUCAGGAAUGCUAGCAUCUUGAGGGU
Molecule: signal recognition particle RNA, 305 nt
Filed under: Rattus norvegicus (Norway rat)
Lineage: Eukaryota; Metazoa; Chordata; Mammalia; Rodentia; Muridae
Description: Metazoan signal recognition particle RNA
Rfam family: Metazoan signal recognition particle RNA
About the family: The signal recognition particle (SRP) is a universally conserved ribonucleoprotein. It is involved in the co-translational targeting of proteins to membranes.
Source: Rfam by way of RNAcentral